RNAcentral lists this long non-coding RNA (542 nucleotides) under Callithrix jacchus (white-tufted-ear marmoset). Its description in RNAcentral is "lncRNA (ENSCJAG00000061474.2)". Lineage: Eukaryota; Metazoa; Chordata; Mammalia; Primates; Cebidae. The record is from RNAcentral.
GACGUAAUUUUUUUGUUUUUAUAAAAGAUUAAUACCAUGAACAUCUAGGGGAAAACCCAGGACUAGAGUCAGAAGAAAGAUAGCAACAUCAAAUUUUAGUUACCAUUGUAUUGAGGGAAUUGGGAUAGCUUGAAGUUAGUCCUUCAACUUUAAGAAAUCUGGGACUCAAAAUAAAGUAAUGAUACAUCUAUUCUAUCUAUUCCUUCCUCACUUGUUCUGGCUGACUCAAAAUCAGGACUCCUGAAAUUGGCAGCAUGAUGCAUCAUCAUCUUUAAAUUCAAAGUAUUCAAAAGUAUCUCACAGAACAUUAAAGCUGGAAGAAAACAGUAAUGGUCUGGAGUCAAGAAAUGAAGAGGGCAAGCAAUGUUUCUGGCAUCCCAACUACAGUUACAUCCAGUUUGAAGCUGCUGCAAUGGCAGCUCAAUGGAGUGGCUAGGAACACCAACUCCAGGAUCAGGGCCCGGGUGUGGGCACCCGAAGGAAUCUCCUGGUCUGAGGGAUGUGAAGACCAUGGGAAAAGCAUAGUGUCUGGGCAAGAAUGA